Molecule: long non-coding RNA, 34620 nt
Filed under: Citrus maxima (pomelo)
Lineage: Eukaryota; Viridiplantae; Streptophyta; Magnoliopsida; Sapindales; Rutaceae
Description: long non-coding RNA (CMAX_LNC003502)
Source: RNAcentral
UCGACAUCGAAGGUGUCGGGGUUUUGUAGAUAUUUUAAAAGUAUGUUUAUUGUUUUGCUUAUUUAUUUAUUUAUUUUUUAAGGUUUCAAUUACUCCAGAGGUGACGUCAAAAAAGAUCAACAGACAAAUUAUUUCUCAGCUGAUUAAUUUAUAUCGGCUGACUAACUUGGGUGAACGAAUACCUGCCUAUGAUGGUAUGAAGAGCAUUUACACUGCAGGGCCGCUGCCUUUUGAAUCGAAGGAAUUCAUUAUCACGUUACCUGAUAGUGAUCCUCGUCCCAGCUCAUCUACCAGGCCGAGGUAUCUCUUGCUUUUAACACGUGUGUUUCUUGAAUAUGUUGAUUGUGAGUUUUCUUGAUUUAAUGUGUUGAGUGAUUUCUUAUGCAGAAGGGAGCGUCAGUUUAGGGUGGUUAUCAGAUUGGCGUCGAAGCCUGAUCUUUACACUCUACAGCAGUUCUUACUCCGUAGGCAUUUUGACGCACCGUACGAAGUUAUACAAGUGCUUGAUGUUGUUCUCAGAGCAGCUCCAUCAGAGAAGUAUUUAACCUUAACUGUGUUAAUAAAGUUUCACUUUUUGGUGUGUAUGAUAUAGGAUGUUCCCUGCCCAUGCCAGCAUUUGAUUGUUCAUGCAACUGAUUUAACAUUUGAUUUCUGAGUAACAAUUUUAUUAUUGUCUAUUUUGUGUCUUGAACAAUUUGGGUUUUAGAAUAGUUAAUUAAUGAAAUGAUGAACUUCUGCAUCAGGCAUACAGUUGUGGGGAGGUCAUUUUUCUCUACUGAUCUUGGACCAAUGGGUCAGCUUGGUGAUGGCGUUGAAUAUUGGCGUGGAUAUUUUCAGAGUCUUCGCCCAACCCAGAUGGGGCUAUCUCUUAAUAUUGGUAUUUCUCAUUAUAUUUUAUAUAAUUUGAUGCUGCUUAUCUUCUAUAUUAUGCAAGCUUGAUUUUGUUUUAGGUGCAGCACUGCUAUAUAAAUAUUUGCUCUUGCUGUUGCAGAUGUUUCAGCCUGUUCCUUUUAUGAACCAAUUCUAGUUACUGAGUUUGUUCAGAAGUAUUGCAGAGACUUAUCACAUCCUCUUUCUGAUGAAGUGCGUCUGCAGGUAUUGUCUAGUCUUCUUUGGUUAUGUCUUGGUUAUAAUUAAUUUAGUAUCAAUUUAAUGAGCUAUCUAUUAGGCGGUUAAAAGUUUUAAUUGAGGGCUGCAGCCCCCUAAUAUAUUUGUGAUAAGAGCAUUUUCAAAAAAUGAUCACAGAUUUGUUAGGCAAACAGUUCAGUAAUGUUUUGGACGUUGUGAAUAAUUUAUUGAUUCAAUAUUUACUUAGUUUAAUUUUUUUAGUUAACUAAUAAUAUAAAUGUUAGGAUUUAUAUACAUAUAUGCAGACACAUUGAUAGGGAAGAACCCAAAAAUUUUAUCUAGGAGAGGCUUAGUAUGAUACAAUUGCAAAAAAACUUUCAACAAAAAAUGAUAGGUGUCAAAUUAUUGAAUUUCAUUGAAUUACUGAUUUUCAACAUAAUUACGGUUUUUCUCGACUCAUUUGUAGUUUUAUAAAAUUACAUACUAUAAUAACUUCAUUGUCAACUUAAUUAAAAAUUUGAAGUUUGAACUAUAGAUUGUUGUUUGUUAUUUUCAAGUAAUAACUUAAAUUAAUAUAAAUAUUUGAGGCAAACAUAAAAAACUUAUCAUAUAUAGUAAGAAAUCUAGUUGAUCAAAUAAAUCCAACUCAACUAUUUAAAAAGUUAAAGCCGGUGACUUAAAAAAUAUGAUAUUUUUAAAAAAUUAAAGUUAUGAGAUAGACAAUUGUGUCAAUCAAUUAAGUCAUGACUUGAGCACCACUUUCAAGUCCAUAACACAUAACAAACUAAUAAAUGGACUAAAUAUAUAACAUAUUUAAAAGGAAAAUUUAUAAGUCUAGAAGGGGGUUUAAAUUAUUAAAUAGACCAAAUAAUCGUGAAUCGUACUUGGGCCUACUUUUCAUUUUACUGUUCAAGAGGGGCGGUAAAGCUAAGCCACCCUGCCCUUUUUAUUAUUUAUAUACGCGCCCUCUUUUCCUCCCUCCUUCUCCCUGACACUUACUUUAUCCUCAAGUAAUCGCUCUCCCGCUUUAUUUGUGUCACCAUCAUUUCACUUCGGUUCCCCAAAAUUUUCUCUCAUAUAUUUACCUUUCUGCUUUCGACAAUGUCUCGACGUGGUGGCGGUGGUCGUAGGCCGGAUUCUCGCCUUGACCAGCCGACUCAGGCACGGGCGCCGUCAUUCCAGCGGGGUGGCGGCGGAGCCGCUGGACCACGCGGCCGAGGUCGUCAAGGUCAACGUGGGGGUGCUGGUCGUGGAUCGCAUUCCGGCUCCGGUGCAGCCCCGUCCUCACCGCACACCGCUUCGACUUCGACGGAGCCGGCUCCUUCGUCUCCGUCUGUUUCUGCUUCUGCUCCUUCUUCGUCUUCAGUCUCUACUCUUGUCGAAGAAACGGAGCAGAAACUGAUAUUGGCGGCACCAGCGGCGGCUACACUGCGGCCUUCGUCGUCGCGGGCGAGUAGACUUCCCGAGAGGCCGGGAAUCGGAACUGUUGGCACAAAAUGUGUUGUCCGAGCAAAUCACUUUAUGGUACAACUUGCCGAGAGAGACAUUCAUCACUAUGAUGUAAGUCUACUUUUAAUUUUAACUUUGUUAUUUUUUAAAACGUUUUGACUCUUUUUGUUUUUUAUUUUCCGUUUUUCUGGUCAAUUUUGAUUUUAUUUAAGAUUCACCAUUCGUGAGCGUCGAAUUCGAAGAUAUCGGGGUUUUAUUGCUAUUUUAAAAACAUGUUUAUUGUUUUCCUUGUUUAUUUAUUUUUUAAGGUUUCAAUUGAUCAAGUCCAAGAUCUCGAAUCGAAUCGAUAUUCAGAGGUGACGUCAAAAAAAAUCAACAGACAAAUUAUUUCUCAGCUGAUUAAUUUAUAUGGGCUGACUAACUUGGGUGGACGAAUACCUGCCUAUGAUGGUAUGAAGAGCAUUUACACGGCAGGGCCGCUGCCUUUUGUAUCGAAGGAAUUCAUUAUCAAUUUACCUGAUAGUGAUCCUCGUCCCAGCUCGUCUACCAGCCCGGGGUAUCUCAUGCUUUUAACAUGUGUGUUUCUUGAAUAUUGUUGAUUGUGAGUUUUCUUGAUUUAAUGUGUCUGAGUAAUUUCUUAUGCAGAAGGGAGCAUCAGUUUAGGGUGGUUAUCAGAUUGGCAUCGAAGCCUGAUCUUUACACUCUACAGCAGUUCUUACGCCGAAGGCAUUUUGAAGCUCCGUACCAUGUUAUACAAGUGCUUGAUGUUGUUCUCAGAGCAGCUCCAUCAGAGAAGUAUUUAACCUUAACCGUGUUAAUAAAAGUUUCACUUUUUGGUUUGUUUGAUAUAGGAUGUUGCCUGCCCAUGCCGGCAUUUGCUUGUUCAUGCAACUGAUUUAGCAUUUUAUUUCUGAGGAAAAAUUUUAAUAUUGUCUAUUUUAUGUCUUGAACAAUUUAGGUUUUAGAUUGAUUAAUUAAUGAAAUGAUGAACUUCUGCAUCAGGCAUACAGUUCUGGGAAGGUCAUUUUUCUCAACUGAUCUUGGACCAAUGGGUCAGCUUGGUGAUGACGUUGAGUAUUGGCGUGGAUAUUUUCAGAGUCUUCGCCCAACCCAGAUGGGGCUAUCUCUUAAUAUUGGUAUUUCUCAUUAUAUUUUAUAUAAUUUGAUGCUGCUUCUCUUUUAUAUUAUGCAAACUUGAUUUUCUUUUUCGGUGCAACGUUGCUACAUAAAUAUUUGCUUUUGCUGUUGCAGAUGUUUCAGCCAGCUCCUUUUAUAAGCCAAUUCUAGUUACUGAGUUUGUUCAGUAUUAUUGCAGCGACUUAUCACGUCCUCUUUCUGAUCAAGUGCGUCUCAAGGUAUUGUCUAGUCUUCUUUCGUGAUGUCAUGGUUAUAAUUAAUUUAGUAUCAAUUUAAUGAGCUAUCUAUUGGGCGGUUAAAAGUUUUAAUUAAGGGCUGCAGCACUGUAAUAUAUUUGUGAUAAGAGCCUUUUCAAAGAAUGAUCACAGAUUUGUUAGGCAAACCGUUCAGUAAUGUUUUAGAUGCUGUGUAUAAUUUAUUGCAAGUAAUUAGUAGUUUAAAAUUUCAAAUUUCUUGCAAAUUUUGGAUAGGGUAAUUUCUUAAUUUGUGGCUGAACUGGUGGGUGGUGAGUAGUGUCUGUUGUUCUCGGCCAUUGAAAUCUAAAUAGAAUGAGCUCCCAAGUCUAGGGGGAAUAGAAUGUUGAUGACAGUGUUUGAUGAUUAAUGUAGGAAGUUGGUGUAUAAUUUGGCCUAUAAUUCUGAUGAUAAAGAAAUGAGAUCUUGAAAUGGCGGUUUUAAAAAUCUUCCACGCAUUCAUUUGCAAUUGUACAGUUAUCUUGAUCAACUUAUUAUCAUUCCGCUACGUAUAUUAGCAAUCUUUUGAACUAUCUGUAAACUUUUUACUUUCGAUCUAUUUUGGCCGCUAUUUGACAACUGCCCUUUAAUUAUUUUCAAAAUUAUUGCUGGGAAUUGGAUAGAGACACGUGCUCAAUGAUAUUAAUAUAAUUGUUUAAUUCUUGACUUCUAGGUGAAAAAGGCAUUGAAGGGAAUAAAGGUAGUGCUCAGGCAUAUGGGGUACAACUUAAGUUGCAAGAUCACUGGAAUAACCAGUCAACCGAUGAGCCAAGUAAUGUAUGUGUGUGUGUAAUUAACUGAUAUACAAGUGUAAGAACACUGUCCAACUUGUGGUGAUAGAGUGUGAUAACAUAACUUGGUGGUUUGGUUGUGUUUAUGUUGGUCGAUUUGUUUAUGUUAGCUGAUUCUUGAGUCCCCCACGCCAUUUGAGAAGCAUACUUUAUGUUGCCUGCUUUUGUCGUCAUCUGAAAUCCACAUAUGGUUAAAUUUGUCUUCUGUGUUGUAUUUUAUGUAUGAUUGAACUACUUGGUGGUAAAAAGUUUGGCGGAUGUGUCUCAAAUCAAUUUCUCAAAUCUGAUAUGUGAUAGUAGUUGGCUACUAUGUAGUGCGAUGGUCACUUGAUAUUGCGUGUAACAGUGAUGUAUCCCUCCUUCCAUGUUAUAGUAGGCAUUCACGUUAUAUCUUCCCUUUGAUUGUAUUUGCUAGGUUUACUUCUGACAAUGAGACAAGGUCGGUGGUUCAAUAUUUUCUUGAAAAACAUAAAAUUGCGCUUCAAUUCACGUCAUUGCCUGCCCUUGAAGCUGGAACUGAAGAGAGGCGCAUUUAUUUGCCAAUGGAGGUUCUAUGAUCAAAAGACUACUUUCAUUCUUUGUGUCUGGAAAAUAAUUUAUUUAAGACUUAUUUAUAGAAUAUUUUUGUUUCCAGCUUUCUAGGAUUGUCGAGGGACAGAGAUAUACUAAAAGAUUAAAUGAAAGACAAGUAACUGCUCUUUUAAGAGCAACUUGUCAGCGUCCUCGGGAUCGUGAAGCAAAUAUACAGACGGUAGAGCAUUGUUGUAAUUUCUUACAUCUGUGGUGGAUCUUUUUUGGAUGAUUAAUCUGGGAGCUAUCUUCUUGUGAACAAAGAGAGUUUCUGAUUCUUGCUUCUGGGUUUGACAUUCUUCUGCAGAUGGCUAGGAAAAAUGCUUACAAUGAAGAUACUCUUGUGAACAAGAAGUUUGGAAUUCAAGUGGCUGAUGGUCUUACAUCGUUUGAUGCUCGAAUCCUACCUGCUCCAAUAGUAAUUAUGUGUCAUUUUGUUUUAUUUGUAACAGGAUUGUGGUACUUCCAAUCUCCUUGUGCUUAACUUUACCUCCUGUAAUGCUGCAGCUUAAAUAUCAUGAAUCUGGCAGAGAAGCAAGCGUGAAUCCUGAUUUUGGGCAAUGGAACAUGAUUAACAAGGUGAAUUACUGAUUAUUAUUUUAUUCCGUAGUUGUUGAUUUGUGCUUAGGAAGAGCAUACGGAAGCGGUUACCACUUGUUUAAUCUGGUUGAGGGAUGUUUAUUGACUGAUGGGUAGGAUGGGUUGGAAGUUGAUUUGCUACAUUUGAUGCAAUGUGGAUGUGCUGCAUUUCUUUUGCAACCAUAAUUUUUUAUUUUUUUUUUCCGUUUUAGCAUGCUGUAAUUUCUAUUUAGUUAUAUACUUUUUCAUCUUUGACAAGCAUUGUAUCUGAUAUUCACUUAGGUAUUCGGAUUGUAUGUGCUUGGUGUUCAGCUCAAUCCACUUUGCCUUCUGAAUGGGAAGUAUUUUUUUGUUCACACUGAAUUAUUUUGUGUAAUUUUGGUUGUACAGAAAAUGUUCAAUGGUGGGACAGUGCAAGUUUGGACUUGUAUGAACUUCUCAACGUGUUUGAACCAGGAUGUGAUCGUGUUCUGUCAACGGUUGGUAGACAUGUGCAAUAGAAAGGGAAUGGUAUGGUAAUGUUAAUGGUAUGGUAAUGUUAUUUGUUUUGCAAUUCAUGUUAGCAAUUUAGGUUAAUGGUCUCUCUGAACCGACUUUUUUCUUUUGGGGGGUCCGUGUUUAUCAUGCCAGGUAUUUAACUGCCGGCCUGUCAUUCCCAUAAGUUCAUACAACCCAUAUCAAAUUGAGAAGGCACUUGUAGACGUUCACAAUAAGACUACACAGCCAGGGAAACAGCUUCAGCUGUUGAUAAUUAUUUUACCAGAUGUUAGCGGAUCAUAUGGUGAGUGAUAAAUUUAAUCAAGGAUUAAACUUUAAUGUCAGCUUUGGUUUUGUUCAACAUUAUCGGCUUUCUGCUCGCAGGAAGAAUUAAGCGAGUUUGUGAAACGGAACUUGGGAUUGUUUCACAAUGCUGUCAGCCUAAGCACGCAUCCAGUUGCAACAUGCAGUAUUUUGAAAAUGUGGCUCUUAAAAUCAAUGUGAAGGUUUGCUUUGCCCCCAUUUUUUUGCGUGUUCAUUAUCAUGGUUAAUAUUUGAGAACCAAUACAAGGGUUGGCAGGAAAACAUGUAGGAGAUGAUUUUUUUUUUUUUUUGGCAAUUUAAUUUCAGUCUUGAUUUGCUGGAAUUAUUGUAUUUUUUUUGUUCAAAUAAUCAAAUUCUGAUGUUCAAGAUAUUUUUAUAAGUGUUUGGGAGUGCCAAAAUUUCUUGUUAAAAUUGAUAGGUUUGCUUAUUGGUACUGGGGAUUCAGUUUGCUAUUUGUAAUUUUAUCAGGUUGGAGGACGAAACACUGUGCUCGAUGAUGCUGUUCAGAAAAGAAUUCCUCUUGUGACUGAUAAACCUACAAUUAUAUUUGGUGCAGAUGUCACCCAUCCACAACCAGGAGAAGACUCUAGCCCUUCAAUAGCGGCCGUAUGUGCACUGAUUUUCUGUUUCUGCUUUCUAGUAAUUCACUCUGUUAAAAGAUUGAAUUGACUGAGAUAGGUGGUGGCCUCAAUGGAUUGGCCAGAAAUAACCAAGUACAGAGGACUUGUCUCUGCUCAGGCACAUAAUCAGGAAAUUAUCCAAGAUCUCUAUAAAUCUAUUAAAGAUCCUCAGAGGGGUUCAGUUCAUGGAGGGAUGAUCCGGUUAGUAGACAUGGAAGUACAUAUCAGGUGCCUUAUUAUUAAGAGAACCUUAUGCUUCUGUUUGUCUUUUACAGGGAACUGUUAAUUGCCUUCAAAAUAUCAACCAACCGUAAACCUGAGAGUAUUAUUUUCUACCGGUAAUGGUUGUUUUCAAUGUUAAACUGCAUGUUUUGUAGAAUGUUACUGAUGUUGUUUCAUUUAUGUGCCAGAGAUGGUGUUAGUGAAGGGCAGUUCAGUCAGGUUUUACUCCAUGAAAUGAAUGCUAUCCGGGAGGUAAUGCUGAUGAGUCCUGAAGUUAAUACAAUUUUCUUGUGUUCUAGAGAUUUUCAAUAUCUAGUUUCAGUUAAUUUCUUGUUGAUGACUUUUGUUGCAACAUGCUAAAUUGACUUAUCUCCAGGCCUGUGCCUCACUUGAGGAGGGAUAUGCGCCACCAGUUACGUUUGUUGUGGUACAGAAAAGGCAUCAUACUCGCCUUUUUCCUGGUGAUCACAACAGACGCGAUCUGACAGAUAGGAGUGGAAAUAUUUUACCAGGUUCCAAGUUAUCUUUGUAUUAUUAAUCUUUAUUUUCUAUUUGCGUCUUUUGAGUAUGCAUAAUGGCUGGGAACCAUGUUGUUGCUUAACCUUGUCUUUGAUGAAUAUUUUUGGGAUGUCCCUGUGUUAGGAACUGUUGUUGAUACUCAUAUUUGUCACCCUACAGAAUUUGAUUUUUACCUCAACAGCCAUGCAGGAAUUCAGGUUAAAAAAAAAAAUUAAGUUUGCUAUUUCAAUCCAGGUUAAAAAAAUAAAACAAUGUCCCCCCCCCCCCCCCCUCUUGAAUUUUUAAAUGUGUUGGACUGAUUAAGGUGUUUAUUCCAGGGAACCAGUCGCCCAACUCACUACCAUGUAUUGUAUGAUGAGAACCAUUUUACUGCAGAUGACUUGCAAUUGUUAACAAAUAACUUGUGUUACACGUAAUAUGUUUACCUUCUCUAUAAUGGGAUUUAAUAUUGCAUUGUUGAAGAAUUUAUCUUUCGAGUGGUUAUUUUGUAAGUUUUUGACUCGUGGCCCAUUUUCAGGUAUGCAAGGUGUACUCGAUCAGUUUCAAUAGGUCUGACCCUUGUACUUCUAUUGUUUUACUAAAAAUAUUGCUAGCAUUGAUUGAUUUUUUUUUUCUUUUUAUUUUUUGUAUUGGCUGUUUUCAUAUGGCAGUGCCUCCUGCAUACUAUGCACAUUUAGCAGCUUUUCGGGCUCGUUUUUAUAUCGAGGAUGAAACAUCUGCGGGUGGAUCCACAGGAGGGACUAGGAGCACGGCGGAGGGGAGUUUGGCUAUCCGGCCUCUUCCCGUCAUCAAGGAUAAUGUGAAAGAUGUAAUGUUUUACUGCUGAAAGUAGUCUCCAGCAUCAAUCCUCUUUGUCAUGGUUUUCAUCAAGGCUUGACGUGUUUUGGUAUAUGGAGUACAGCGUGGUGCCGUUUUUGGACAGUACUGUUAUUUUGGGAGUAGUUUCAAAUUGGACAUCAAGGGUAGAAACUGAUUCUCCUUAUGUUAAAAAUGUUAGCUGCAUAUUGUCCUGGUUAAUGCUGGUUAAUGCCUUGUAAAUUUAAAUGCCAAAAAACUUCAUUUCUUGGUGGGGUUAUUUGAUCUCACUGCACGCUUUUUUAAAUUAACAUUUUUGGACAGUGCUGAUUAUCUCACUGCACUCUUUUUUCAAUUAACAUUUUUAUUCUGAAAACAUAAUUGGAUCAAUUAUAUAUUUGAUCUUAUUUUCUCUCUCGAUCUCUUUCCCUUAACCAAAAUUUAUUGUAAUAUGUGAAGUAAGUAUUGAAUUUUCUAAUUAUUCAAAAAGUAAUAAAUUCAGCUCAAUGGUAAUUAGAAACAAGAUGAAAGAGACAAUGUUAAUCAUUUAGAAAUAAAAAAUAAGAGUUUUUAGACUGUUCUAAAUUUGUUAGAAUUUUGAGAAAGAUGAAGUUGAUUUUGGAGAGAAUAAAAUUGAAAAGUAGUUUAAGCUUUGAUCAUUUCUACAGUAGACAGAAAAAUUAGAGCCAAUUUGGGAUUGCGAAGGCAUAUGAAAUAAGCAGCUUAUGUGUUGUGCAGGUGAAAUAAGUUGUUGAUAAAAAAAGUAGUUUAGUGUUUGGAAAACUGUAUUGUUGUGGUUGCUAAGAAUUUGAAUAGUACAGUACAUGUGUUUGGUAAAUUAUAUUACGAAAGUAUUGUUUUAUUAUAUAAUGAGCAAAAUAGAUACAAGUUUUAAUUACUUUUUAUUUUUAAAGUAUGUUUAAUAGAUUAUUUAUACAUAUCUUUUUUCUUAUUGUUUUAUAUAUAAUGACUAAGAUAGACAUAAAUUUUAAUUACUUUUUAUUUUUAAAGUAUAUUUAAUAAAUUAUUGAGACAUAUCUUUUUUUCUUAAAUGCAUAAAAUUACAUUAAAAAACUCAAUUAAAAAAAUCUAUAGAACUUCAUAAUUUAUUACAAAAAAAAUAUGAUAAAAAUAAAGUUAUGAUUCAUAUAUUAGGGUUUAUAGAUAAAUAAAAUAUAAUUGUCUUUUUAUUAAAUUCUAGGGUUAUAAUAGGAAAUUUAAAAAGGUAUGGUAACUUAUUAAAUAAGCUGUUUAUAAAAAGUAAUUUGUUACCUGCUUUUAAAAGUUGCUGACAAAAUGGAAAAAAUUAUGAAAUAAGUUGAUUUUAUAAAAUUUUACAAACAUUAUUUUUAUUAAAAAUUAUGAAAUAAGCAGUUUAUUAAAUUUCAACUACAAUUCUAAACUGACCCUUGGUUAAUCAAAUAUUUUUUGUGACUUUUGAGAAUUAGUGAAUUAAAAUAAUAAAUUAUCAUAAAAAAAUGAUUUUUAGAAGGAAAAUCAACGUUUGCCUCAAUUGUUUGAUGAGGCGAAUGAUGCAUGUAUACGGUUGGGUACAUGCAGUUGUUUUUAACUAAGAUGUAUAAAUAGAUGAACAAAUACUGCAAAAGCGAAAGUAUUUAAUUAAAAAAUGUCAUAAAAAUUUCUUCAAAGCCGGUGAUCGUACUACAAGUACAUUUAAGCAGUCAGCAAGAGUAUUGAACUGUGUAUGCUUCCUUUUUUCAUUUCAAUUACCCGUUAUUCUUCUUGUACGGUGGCUUCUGAAUUACUUUCUUUACUUUUUGAGAGCUCAAGCAAUUCCGUUGCUUCUUCCACUUUUGCAGCCAAUGACUCAAAGUGAAUCCAACAGCACGAUCAUCUCGGAGAGAUCCAUUUCCAAAAUCAUCUCAGUAAUCUUUGGUGAAAGAUCACACUGUCCAAAAGUUACUUACAUGUAAAUAUCAUUAAACCAAAGCUUAAAGCAGGUGAAAAUUGUGAGUACAUUCGCAGAAGGUUAAAACUUCAAUUUACUCCCUUAUUUUAAAAGACAACCUACUACUUACCUCAAAAAUAUAAAAACAUCAAUUGAUGUCUUUUAUUAUUAAAAAGACAAAAAAAAAUAUUAUCAACACACUUUUCGUUUGUCCUAAUCUUUUGAACGAAAAUGAAAAUAAACUGAAGAUUAUCAUUUUACCCGAAGAUGAAUCAAAAUUGACCCUUCACAAAAAAAUAUGAGCAAUCACCUUGAGUUUCUUCACCAGCGGGUAGAGUCUUCGGCCAAGAAUAUCUUUCCUUUCAUUAGGGGAAGCAGCAGCAAGCAUGCUGCUCAAAUUUUCAUUGUAAGCAGCAGCUCUUUAAUUCCCAUUUGUCAGCUCUUUGAUUCCCAUUGGAAAAUUUAGCAUUGCCCAUUCAUCCUUCCUCCUCUAUAUUGCCUUACAGAAUUAGGAGCCUGUAAUACAAAAUUUUUAAUCCCAAAGUUAAGCAGAAGCGCAACAAUUCCAAAUACAUCCUAAACUUGAUUUUACGUUACCAUUAGAAACAAAGGAGAAGGAGGAGGAGGAGAAAAUCCAUUAGGAAUCAUGCCACCAUGCCUGAACCCUGGUGCUUGGUACACUUGUAAUGCACGUUGAUAAAGGGUCGGAUGCAUAGGAAAAAUGGUGCUACCAAGUCCUGGCCCUUGCUUUGCAUACAUCAUUCGUAGGUACGAAGUUCUUUCUCGCUUUGUUUGAGCAAUGGCCACAUACAAUGGCUUUUGAUGAAACAAGAUGCCAUUCAGAGUAUUUAUGGCUCGAUUGGCUUCAUCAGGAUUAGAGAAACACACAAAUCCGAACCCUUUGCUAAUACCUCGAUUAGUUCUCAUGAUCUUAACAGAGCUGAUAAUGCCACACUGGCUAAAAUAUUGUUUCAAUUCAAUUUCGUCAACGUCAUCAUUUAUGUUCUUCACAUACAAAUUUUUAUCCUACAAUUGACAAACAUCUUGAUUUUAGCAGGAUUUAACAAACGAAAAUAACGAUAUUAAUUAAGAGAGCAAAUAACCAAAAAAAAAAAAAACACCUUGUAUAAUUCAGCACGCUCUUUGCGCAUUCUCUCAAAUUAAGCGCGUAAAAUCGCCUUUCGUUCAGCUUUCUUCUGUGCAUUGUGUCUUUGGCUCUUUUAACAUCAUCUGGAUUUUCAAAAUUCACAAAACCAAAACCCUUUGAUGUCCCGUUAGCAUCUUUUGAGAUAACCAAACUUAUUAAUAUUUUUCCAAACUCGAAGAAUUUCUCUACCAAAAUCUCCUCAGUCACAUCAUCAUCUAAAUUCUUGACGUACAGGUUGUUAAAAAAAGCACUUUCUUGAAUCCCCCCAGCCCUUCUGAUGAAUGGACCAACAUAGCUGCCAAUUAAUGCCAGUGAACAUUAUUAAUGCGACAAAUAGUAGAUAAAUUAGCAUAUAUACAAAGAUGACACAUACAACUGUGGCUGGAUCCAAUAACUAAUUGCACCAUUGUUUUGCCCCUUUUAUAGAAUGUAAAAUUAAAAUUUACUAUUAAAAUUGUCAAAAACCACCAACAAAGUGUUGGCUCCACUGGCAAUGGAGUCCCCUUAAGUGACUUGACUGGGUUUGCUCCCUAGUUCGAGUCGCAGGGAAGUCGCCUUUGUUGGGAGAACCUGUGCCUCCCGGUUCGAGCGGGGACUUCUAGUCUGGGUUGUGGUACGGGCUUAAAGGUGCCUCCCACAGUUGGGGCCCUCCCCAGGAUACCUCGUGAUUAAUAUCAAAAAAAUUGUCAAAAACCAUUACGUGUGGCAAUAUUCAAAUCCGAAUUUAAAUCUGCAUUGAAAUUUUGAGAUAUGGAUCCACAUUUUUUUUUUAUUGGAUCUGAUUAAAGGAAAUAUUCGUAAAGAUUGCAGGCAUAUAUUUUGCAUAUCUAGAUUCGCAUGAUUCAAAAUUCAUAUAUAAUUUAAAAUUUAACAAAUUUGCCUAAUAAAAUCCAAUUAUAAUUGAACGAUCAACAAUUCAACACCUAGAAUAACAUUCAACAAUAUUAAAUUCAUAAAUAAAAAUACCAUAAAAUAAAUCAAACAUCAAAAAUAACAUAAAUUUAAGUCUAACACCACUACAAAUCCAUAAAUACGAACACCACAAGUCCACUUAGAUUCAAUUUAAAACCAUCACAAAUAAAAACACCACAACAAAUCUACACAAGUUUGAUUUUUUUAAAUUUAACAUAUAUUUUUUAUUCAAUUUUAAUGUAAUAAAUAAUUUAAUUAAAAAAUAAUGUGGAUCCAAAUAUUCAAUUUUCUGGAUGCAUUUGCAUCCGAAUCCGUACAUAUUUAUUUUUUGGCAUCCUAAUCUAUACUUUUCAAUAUGUGGAUCCAAAUCUUUACAAAUCUGGGUCGGAUCUAGAUUUUUUUACGAUCCCUACAAACAAUUACCAUGUUUGAUAGGUUAAAAAAAUAUAGGCACACGUUAGACAAUAGUAUAAAGUUAAGAGUAUUGGACUAUUCUUUUUAAAAUUAAAUCAGUCUUUUGUUUGGUGCUGCAAAGAUAAGUGAGGAUUAUGUACCUUAAGACCACACCAUUUAAUCUUGGACACAUACUUUUAUAAAGUAGAAUGAAAAAUUUUCCCAUAGGGACCCUAGGGAUAAUGUGGGAUAAUUUUUUUCAUGCCUAAAAAUAAUUGUAGAAUAACUACACAAUGAAAUAUCUAUAUCUAUUAUUACAUUAUAUUACAUUGAUUAAAUAUGUAUUUACUUCAAUAUUCAUUUUACUUAAAUAAUAAUAAAAAUGUUAGAAUUUAUAUUUUGUGUGUUUGUGUGUGUGUUUGUAUGUAUAUACAUACAUAUACACACAUAAAUGAUCAAUUACACACAUUAUUGUACGCGACGAGCCAUGUGUCAUUUAAUGAUUAGUUGUGUCGCACAUCUAAUUAUGUGUGUGCAUUAUAAUAUUAAUAAUAAUAAAAUAAAAACAACUUAAAUUAAUAUUCAGGUUUUUAAUUUAAUAUUUCGAAUAUUCGUAUUAUUAAAUUUAUAUUUAUAAAUUUACUCUUAUAAAUAAAAUACUUUUAAAUAUUUAAUAAUUAAUAAAUCAAUAGUAAUAUACUUUAUUUUCUUAUAAACUGUUUUAGUAAAAUCCUACAUAGUAUACCAAACAUGAGAUAAUAUUAAAUAUAAAUCCAGCCCAAUCUUAUUUUAUCCUACUAAACCCAAUAUAUUAUUACCCAUAAUCCAUCUUAUAAAAAAAAAAGUAAUUUAAGUUCUCGUGCUGACCGGAGGGAAACCUGAAAGGCGGAAAGCCUAGCUAUAGGGGUGUUCAGAAUCUAUUCCAAUCCGCUCAACCCGUCUGAUCCGUAAAAAUUUGAUCCGUGGAUUGGUGAAUUGGAUUGGAUUGAAAAUUUGAUAAUCUGCAAUCGGUGGAUUGGAUAUGAAUCUACUUCUAUAAAUCCGCAAAAAUCCGCGAAUCCGUAAAAAAAUAAAGAGUAUUUAUUUAAUUAAAAAAACUUGUAAAUAUGACAUUAUUACUUACUAGUAAAUAAAUAAGUUAAAAUAUAGUUAUAUUAACACUAUAUUAUAUCUUAUCCGAUGAUAAUAAAAAAUAAAAAAUAAACAAAUAAAUAAAUAAAUAAAGCUUCUUAAAUAGUUAAUUUCCAUGUGCUGAUAUAAACUAAUGAGAUUUUUUUCGUUUUGGUGUGUUAUAUUUUGAAACUUUAAAUGUAUUUUCUACCUUUAUUUAAACAGUUAAUUUAUGUAAAUCUUAUUUGAUUUUAAAUUUCAUCUGUAGUAAAAUUAUUUUUAUAUUAAUUUUUUUUAUUUAGUUAGUUUGUGGAUUUGACAAAAUUUAAAAUUUUUAGUCCGCAAAAUAAUAGAUUAGAUAUGGAUUAGGUCAAAUCCGCAUCCGAUCCACAGAUAUAUGGAUUGGAUUUGAAUUAAAUUUCACCAAUCCGUGGAUUGAAUUAGAUUAAAAAUUUAUAAUCUACAAAAUCAUGAAUCGGAUAUAAAUUAAUGGCCAAUCCAUAAAAUUCGAUUUGCGAACACUCCUACCUAGCUGAAGCUCUUACCUCAAUUUCCAGUUGAAAAUUAAUAAUUAAUAAUCACUAAUAAAAAAUUAAAGAUGAACGCUCACUAAUUAAUAAGUAAUUUAAGUUCCUUUUUAUUAUUUAUAGGGAAAUUUACACUAGUCUACCUGUUUGUUUUGCCUUUUUUAAAAAUACACAAAUAUUUUUUUUUUCAGUGCGCCACCUGAAGUUUGCUUUUUGUUGCAUUUUUCCACUUCCGUCUAAUUUCCGUUAGUGGAUUUAACGGAAUGUUAACGAAAUGACCUUUUUACCCCUCAAAAUUACAAUUUAACCUAAAAUAAAUGGAAAUUUGAGAUAAAUUGGAUGUAUUUAAAUUUUUUCAAAGGUGGAUGCUAGAAAUUGGAGGAAAAUAGUGUUUGUUGCUUGCUAAAUUUAGAAAAUUUGUAUUUAUUUUCUAAAUUUAGCAAGCAACAAACAUUAUUUUCCUCCAAUUUCUAACAUCCACCUUUGAAAAAAUUUAAAUCCAUCCAAUUUAUCUCCAAUUUUUAUUUAUUUUGGGUUAAAUUAUAAUUUUGAAGGGUAAAAAGGUCAUUUUGUUAAAUUUACUAACGAAAAUUAGACGAAAGUGGAAGAAUGUAACAAAGAGUGAAUUUGAGGUGGCGCGCUGAAAAAAAAAAAAAAGUAUUUGUGUAUUUAAAAAAAAGAUAAAAUAAACAUGUGGACGGUUGUAAAUUUUCUUUAUUUAUAUACACUUCCCAUCUUCCUCUCUCCUUCUCUCUGUUUCUUCUUAAGUCGUCGCUCUCUCGCUUUAUUUGUGUGACCAUCACUUCAAUUCGGUUCCUCAAAAUUUCCUUUCAUUUUACCUUUCUGCUUUCGACAAUGUCUCGACGUGGUGGCGGUGGUCGUAGGCCGGAUUCUCGCCGUGACCAGCCGACUCAGGCACGGGCGCCGUCAUUCCAGCGGGGUGGCGGCGGAGCCGCUGGACCACGCGGCCGAGGUCGUCAAGGUCAACGAGGGGGUGCUGGUCGUGGAUCGCAUUCCGGCUCCGGUGCAGCCCCGUCCUCACCGCACACCGCUUCGACUUCGACGGAGCCGGCUCCUUCGUCUCCGUCUGUUUCUGCUUCUGCUCCUUCUUCGUCUUCAGUCUCUACUCUUGUCGAAGAAACGGAGCAGAAACUGACAUUGGCGGCACCAGCGGCGGCUACACUUCCGCCUUCGUCGUCGCGGGCGGUGAGACUUCCAGUGAGGCCGGGAUUCGGAACCCGUGGCAGAAAAUGUGUUGUCCGAGCAAAUCACUUUAUGGUGCAACUUGCCAAGAGAGACAUUCAUCACUAUGAUGUAAGUCUACUUUUAAUUUUAACUUCGUUAUUUUUGAAAACGUUUUGACUCUUUUUAUUUUUUAUUUUCCAUUUUUCUCGUCAAUUAAGGUUUCAAUUGACCCAGAGGUGACGUCACAAAAGAUCAACAGACAAAUUAUUUCUCAGCUGAUUAAUUUAUAUCGGCUGACUAACUUGGGUGAACGAAUACCUGCCUAUGAUGGUAUGAAGAGCAUUUACACUGCAGGGCCGCUGCCUUUUGAAUCGAAGGAAUUCAUUAUCACGUUACCUGAUAGUGAUCCUCGUCCCAGCUCAUCUGCCAGCCCGGGGUAUCUCAUGCUUUUAACACGUGUGUUUCUUGAAUAUUGUUGAUUGUGAGUUUUCUUGAUUUAAUGUGUCGAGUGAUUUCUUAUGCAGAACGGAGCGUCAGUUUAGGGUGGUUAUCAGAUUGGCGUCGCAGCCUUAUGUUUACACUCUACAGAAGUUCAUACAAGUGCUUGAUGUUGUUCUCAGAGCAGCUCCAUCAGAGAAGUAUUUAACCUUAACUGUGUUAAUAAAAGUUUCACUUUUUGGUAUGUAUGAUAUAGGAUGUUCCGUGCCCAUGCCAGCAUUUGCUUGUUCAUGCAACUGAUUGAGCAUUUGAUUUCUGAGGAACAAUUUUAUUAUUGUCUAUUUUGUGCCUUGAACAAUUUAGGUUUUAGAAUGGUUAAUUAAUGAAAUGAUGAACUUCUGCAUCAGGCAUACAGUUGUGGGAAGGUCAUUUUUCUCAACUGAUCUUGGACCAAUGGGUCAGCUUGGUGAUGGCAUUGAAUAUUGGCGUGGAUAUUUUCAGAGUCUUCGCCCAACCCAAUUUGGGCUAUCUCUUAAUAUUGGUUUUUCUCAUUAUAUUUUAUAUAAUUUGAUGCUGCUUAUCUUUAUAUUAUCCAAGCUUGAUUUUUUCUUUUUUAGGUGCAGCACUGCUACAUAAAUAUUUGCUUUUGCUGUUGCAGAUGUUUCAGCCAGCUCCUUUUAUAAGCCAAUUCUAGUUACUGAGUUUGUUCAGUAUUAUUGCAGCGACUUAUCACGUCCUCUUUCUGAUCAAGUGCGUCUCAAGGUAUUGUCUAGUCUUCUUUCGUGAUGUCAUGGUUAUAAUUAAUUUAGUAUCAAUUUAAUGAGCUAUCUAUUGGGCGGUUAAAAGUUUUAAUUGAGGGCUGCAGCACUGUAAUAUAUUUGUGAUAAGAGCCUUUUCAAAGAAUGAUCACAGAUUUGUUAGGCAAACCGUUCAGUAAUGUUUUAGAUGCUGUGUAUAAUUUAUUGCAAGUAAUUAGUAGUUUAAAAUUUCAAAUUUCUUGCAAAUUUUGGAUAGGGUAAUUUCUUAAUUUGUGGCUGAACUGGUGGGUAGUGAGUAGUGUCUGUUGUUCUUGGCCAUUGAAAUCUAAAUAGAAUGAGCUCCCAAGUCUGAGGGGAAUAGAAUGUUGAUGACAGGGUUUGAUGAUCAAUGUAGGAAGUUGGUGUAUAAUUUGGCCUACAAUUCUGAUGAUAAAGAAAUGAGAUCUUGAAAUGGCGGUUUUAAAAAUCUUCCACGCAUUCAUUUGCAAUUGUACAGUUAUCUUGAUCAACUUAUUAUCAUUCCGUUACGUAUAUUAGCAAUCUUUUGAACUAUCUGUAAAAUUUUUACUUUCGAUCUAUUUUGGCCGCUAUUUGACAACCGCCCUUUAAUUAUUUUCAAAAUUAUUGCUGGGAAUGGGAUAGAGACAUGUGCUCAAUGAUAUUAAUAUAAUUGUUUAAUUCUUGACUUCUAGGUGAAAAAGGCAUUGAAGGGAAUAAAGGUAGUGCUCAGGCAUAUGGGGUACAACUUAAGUUGCAAGAUCACUGGAAUAACCAGUCAACCGAUGAGCCAAGUAAUGUAUGUGUGUGUGUAAUUAACUGAUAUACAAGUGUAAGAACACUGUCCAACUUGUGGUGAUAGAGUGUGAUAACAUAACUUGGUGGUUUGGUUGUGUUUAUGUUGGUAGAUUUGUUUAUGUUAGCUGAUUCUUGAGUCCCCCACGCCAUUUGAGAAGCAUACUUUAUGUUACCUGCUUUUGUCGUCAUCUGAAAUCCACAUAUGGUUAAAUUUGUCUUUUGUGUUGUAUUUUAUGUAUGAUUGAACUACUUGGUGGUAAAAAGUUUGGCGGAUGUGUCUCAAAUCAAUUUCUCAAAUCUGAUAUGUGAUAGUAGUUGGCUACUAUGUAGUGCGAUGGUCACUUGAUAUUGCCUGUAACAGUGAUGUAUCCCUCCUUCCAUGUUAUAGUAGGCAUUCACAUUAUAUCUUCCCUUUGAUUGUAUUUGCUAGGUUUACUUGUGACAAUGAGACAAGGUCGGUGGUUCAAUAUUUUCUUGAAAAACAUAAAAUUGCGCUUCAAUUCACGUCAUUGCCUGCCCUUGAAGCUGGAACUGAAGAGAGGCGCAUUUAUUUGCCAAUGGAGGUUCUAUGAUCAAAAGACUACUUUCGUUCUUUGUGUCUGGAAAAUAAUUUAUUUAAGACUUAUUUAUAGAAUAUUUUUGUUUACAGCUUUCUAGGAUACUCGAGGGACAGAGAUAUACUAAAAGAUUAAAUGAAAGACAAGUAACUGCUCUUUUAAGAGCAACCUGUCAGCGUCCUCAGGAUCGUGAAGCAAAUAUACACAUGGUAGAGCAUUGUUGUAAUUUCUUACAUCUGUGGUGGAUCUUUUUUGGAUGAUUAAUCUGGGAGCUAUCUUCUUGUGAACAAAGAGAGUUUCUGAUUCUUGCUUCUGGGUUUGACAUUCUUCUGCAGAUGGCUAGGGAAAAUGCUUACAAUGAAGAUACUCUUGUGAACAGAGAGUUUGGAAUUCAAGUGGUUGAUGGUCUUACAUCGGUUAAUGCUCGAAUCCUACCUGCUCCAAUGGUAAUUAUGUGUCAUUUUGUUUUAUUUGUAACAGGAUUAUGGUACUUCCAAUCUCCUUAUGCUUAACUUUACCUCCUGUAAUGCUGCAGCUUAAAUAUCAUGAAACUGGCCCAGAAGCAAGCGUGAAUCCUGAUUUUGGGCAAUGGAACAUGAUUAACAAGGUGAAUUACUGAUUAUUAUUUUAUUCUGUAGCUGUUGAUUUGUGCUUAGAAAGAGCAUAGGGAAGCAGUUUCCACUUGUUUAAAUUGGUUGAGGGAUGUUUAUUGACUGAUGGGUAGGAUGGGUUGGAAGUUGAUUUGCUACAUUUGAUGCAAUGUGGAUGUGCUGCAUUUCCUUUGCAACCAUUAUUUUUUUAUUUUUUUUUUCAUUUUAGCAUGCUGUAAUUUCUAUUUAGUUAUAUACUUUUUCAUCUUUGACAAGCAUUGUAUCUGAUAUUCACUUAGGUAUUUGGAUUGUAUGUGCUUGGUGUUCAGCUCAAUCCACUUUGCCUUCUGAAGGAGAAGCUUUUAUUUGUUUACACUGAAUUAUUUUGUGUAAUUUUGGUUGUACAGAAAAUGUUCAAUGGUGGGACAGUGCAAGUUUGGACUUGUAUGAACUUCUCAACGUGUUUGAACCAGGAUGUGAUCGGGUUCUGUCAACGGUUGGUAGAUAUGUGCAAUAGAAAGGGAAUGGUAUGGUAAUGUUAAUGGUAUGGUAAUGUUAUUUGUUUUGCAAUUCAUGUUAGCAAUUUAGGUUAAUGGUCUCUCUGAACCGACUUUUUUCUUUUGGGGGGUCUGUGUUUAUCAUGCCAGGUAUUUAACCGGCGGCCUGUCAUUCCCAUAAGUUCAUACAACCCAUAUCAAAUUGAGAAGGCACUUGUAGACGUUCACAAUAAGACUACACAGCCAGGGAAACAGCUUGAGCUGUUGAUAAUUAUUUUACCAGAUGUUCGCGGAUCAUAUGGUGAGUGAUAAAUUUAAUCAAGGAUUAAACUUUAAUGUCAGCUUUGGUUUUGUUCAACAUUAUCGGCUUUCUGCUCGCAGGAAGAAUUAAGCGAGUUUGUGAAACGGAACUUGGGAUUGUUUCACAAUGCUGUCAGCCUAAGCACGCAUCCAGUCGCAACAUGCAGUAUUUUGAAAAUGUGGCUCUUAAAAUCAAUGUGAAGGUUUGCUUUGCCCCCAUUUUUUUGCGUGUUCAUUAUCAUGGUUAAUAUUUGAGAACCAAUACAAGGGUUGGCAGGAAAACAUGUAGGAGACGAAUUUUUUUUUUUUUUUUGGCAAUUUAAUUUCAGUCUUGAUUUGCUGUAAUUAUUGUAAUUUUUUUUUUCAAAUAAUCAAAUUCUGAUGUUCAAGAUAUUUUUAUAAGUGUUUGGGAGUGCCAAAAUUUCUUGUUAAAAUUGAUAGGUUUGCUUAUUGGUACUGGAGAUUCAGUUUGCUAUUUGUAAUUUUAUCAGGUUGGAGGACGAAACACUGUGCUCGAUGAUGCUGUUCAGAAAAGAAUUCCUCUUGUGACUGAUAGACCUACAAUUAUAUUUGGUGCAGAUGUCACCCAUCCACAACCAGGAGAAGACUCUAGCCCUUCAAUAGUGGCCGUAUGUGCACUCAUUUUCUGUUUCUGCUUUCUAGUAAUUCACUCUGUUGAAAGAUUGAAUUGACUGAGACAGGUGGUGGCCUCAAUGGAUUGGCCAGAAGUAACCAAGUACAGAGGACUUGUCUCUGCUCAGGCACAUAAUGAGGAAAUUAUCCAAGAUCUCUAUAAAUCUAUUCAAGAUCCUCAGAGGGGUUUAGUUCAUGGAGGGAUGAUCAGGUUAGUAGGCAUGGAAGUACAUAUCAGGUGCCUUAUUAUUAAGAGAACCUUAUGCUUCUGUUUGUCUUUUACAGGGAACUGUUAAUUGCCUUCAAAAUAUCAACCAACCGUAAACCUGAGAGUAUUAUUUUCUACCGGUAAUGGCUGUUUUCAAUGUUAAACUGCAUGUUUUGUAGAAUGUUACUGAUGUUGUUUCAUUUAUGUGCCAGAGAUGGUGUUAGUGAAGGGCAGUUCAGUCAGGUUUUGCUCCAUGAAAUGAAUGCUAUCCGACUGGUAAUGCUGAUGAGUCCUGAAGUUAAUACAAUUUUCUUGUGUUCUAGAGAUUUUCAAUACCUAGUUUCAGUUAAUUUCUUGUUGAUGACUUUUGUUGCAACAUGCUAAAUUGACUUAUUUGCAGGCCUGUGCCUCACUUGAGGAGGGAUAUGCGCCACCAGUUACGUUUGUUGUGGUACAGAAAAGGCAUCAUACUCGCCUUUUUCCUGCUGAGCACAACAGACGUGAUCUGACGGAUAGGAGUGGAAAUAUUUUACCAGGUUCCAAGUUUGCUUUGUAUUAUUAAUCUUUAUUUUCUAUUUGCUUCUUUUGAGUAUUCACAAUGGGUGGGAACCAUGUUGUUGCUUCACCUUGUCUUUGAUGAAUACUUUUGGGAUGUUCUUGUGUUAGGAACUGUUGUCGAUACUCAAAUUUGUCACCCUACAGAAUUUGAUUUUUACCUCAACAGCCAUGCAGGAAUUCAGGUAAAAAAAAAAAGAAAAUAAGUUUGCUCUUUCAAUCCAAAUUUUAUUCAUCCAGACUUGUUAAACAAUGUCCCCCCCCCCCCCCCCAAAUUUUUUAAUUUGUUGGACUGAUUAAGGUGUUUGUUCCAGGGAACCAGUCGCCCAACUCACUACCAUGUAUUGUUUGAUGAGAACCGUUUUUCCGCAGAUGGCUUGCAAGUGUUAACAAAUAACUUGUGUUACACGUAAUUUGUUUACCUUCUCUAUAACCGGAUUUAAUAUUGCAUUGUUGAAGAAUUUAUCUUUCGAAUGGUUAUUUUGUAAGUUUUUGACUCAUGGCCCAUUUUCAGGUAUGCAAGGUGUACUCGAUCAGUUUCAAUAGGUCUGACGCUGUGUACUUCUAUUGUUUUACUAAAAAUAUUUUGAGUCAAUGAAUUAUUAUUAUUCUGGCUAGCAUUGAUUGGUUUUUUUUUUCUUUUUAUUUUUUGUAUUGGCUGUUUUCAUAUGGCAGUGCCUCCUGCAUAUUAUGCACAUUUAGCAGCUUUUCGGGCUCGUUUUUAUAUCGAAGACGAAACAUCUGCGGGUGGAUCCACAGGAGGGACUAGGAGCACGGCGGAGGGGAGUUUGGCUAUCCGGCCUCUUCCCGCCAUCAAGGAUAAUGUGAAAGAUGUAAUGUUUUACUGCUGAAAGUAGUCUCCAGCAUCAAUCCUCUUUGGUAUAUGGAGUACCAGCGUGGUGCCCUUUUUGGACAGUACUGUUAUUUUGGGAGUAGUUUCAGAUUGGACAUCAAGGGUAGAAACUGAUUCUCCUUAUUUUAAAAUGUUAGCUGCAUAUUGACCUGGUUAAUGCCUUGUAAAUUUAAAUGCCAAAAAACUUCAUUUCUUAUUUUAAAAAUGUUUCUGAUUCUCCUUAUUUUAAAAAUGUUAGCUGCAUAUUGUCCUGGUUAUUUGAUCUCACUGCACUCUUUUUUAAAUUAACAUUUUUAUUCUGAAAACAUAAUUGGAUCAAUUAUAUAUUUGAUCUUAUUUUCUCUCUCGACAAAAUGGAGAAAAAUAUUAAAUAAGUUGUUUUUACAAAAUUUAACAAACACUAUUUUUAUUAAAAAUUAUGAAAUAAGCAAGUUAUUGAAUUUCAAUUGUAAUCUUAAAUUGACUCUUAGUUAAUCAAAUAUUUUUUGUGACUUUUGAAAAUUAGUGAAUUAAAAUAAUAAACUAUAAUUAAAAAAUGGUUGUAAGAAGGAAAAUUAAAGUUUGCCUCAAUUGUUUGAUUAGGCGAAUGAUGCAUGUAUACGGUUGGGUACAUGUAGUUGUUUUUAACUAAGAUGUAUAAAUAGAUGAACAAAUACUGCAAAAGCGAAAGUAUUGAAUUAAAAAAUGUCAUAAAAAUUUCUUCAAAGUAUUAAACUGUGUAUGCUUUUUUCUUUUUUUUUUUUUUACUUUCAAUUACUCGUUAUUCUUCUUGUACUGUGGCUUCCGAAUUACUUUCUUUACUUUUCGAGAGCUCAAGCAAUUCCGUUGCCUCUUCCACUUUUGCAGCCAAUGACUCAAAGUGAAUCCAACAGCACGAGCAGCUCGGAGUGAUCCAUUUCCAAAAGCAUCUCAGUAAUCUUUGGUGAAAGACCACAUUGUCCAAAAGUUACUUACAUGUAAAUAUCAUUAAACCAAAGCUUAAAGCAGGUGAAAAUUAUUAGUACAUUCGCAGAAGGUUAAAACUUCAAUUUACUCCCUUAUUUUGAAUAACAAUCUACUAUUUACCUCAAAAAUAUAAAAACAUAAAUUUAUCUCUUUUAUCAUUAAAAAGACAAAAAAAAAAUAUUAUUAUCAACACCCUUUUCGUUUGUCCUAAUCUUUUGAACGAAAAUGAAAGUAAACUGAAGAUUAUCAUUUUACCCGAAGAUGAAUCAAAAUUGACCCUUAACAAAAAAUAUGAGUAAUCACCUUGAGUUUCUUCACCAGCGGGUAGAGUCUUUGGCCAAGAAUAUCUUUCCUUUCACUAGGGAAAGCAGCAGCAAGCAUGCUGCUCAAAUUUUCAUUGUAAGCAGCAGCUCUUUAAUUCCCAUUUGUCAGCUCUUUGAUUCCCAUUGGAAAAUUUAGCAUUGCCCAUUCAUCCUUCCUCCUCUAUAUUGCCUUACAGAAUUAGGAGCCUGUAAUACAAAAUUUUUAAUCCCAAAGUUAAGCAGAAGCGCAACAAUUCCAAAUACAUCCUAAACUUGAUUUUACGUUACCAUUAGAAACAAAGGAGAAGGAGGAGGAGGAGAAAAUCCAUUAGGAAUCAUGCCACCAUGCCUGAACCCUGGUGCUUGGUACACUUGUAAUGCACGUUGAUAAAGGGUCGGAUGCAUAGGAAAAAUGGUGCUACCAAGUCCUGGCCCUUGCUUUGCAUACAUCAUUUGUAGGUACGAAGUUCUUUCUCGCUUUGUUUAAGCAAUGGCCACAUACAAUGGCUUUUGAUGAAACUAAGAUGCCAUUCAGAGUAUUUAUGGCCAAUACUAAGAUGCCAUUCAGAGUAUUUAUGGCUCGAUUGGCUUCAUCAGGAUUAGAGAAACACACAAAUCCGAACCCUUUGCUAAUACCUCGAUUAGUUCUCAUGAUCUUAACAGAGCUGAUAAUGCCACACUGGCUAAAAUAUUGUUUCAAUUCAAUUUCGUCAACGUUAUCAUUUAUGUUCUUCACAUACAAAUUUUUAUCCUACAAUUGACAAACAUCUCGAUUUUAGCAGGAUUUAACGAACGAAAAGAACGAUAUUAAUUGAGAGAGCAAAUAACGAAAAAAAAAAAAAAACCUUGUAUAAUUCGGCACGCUCUCUUUGCAUUCUCUCAAAUUAAGCGCGUAAAAUCGCCUUUCGUACCGUUAGCAUCUUUUGAGAUAACCAAACUUAUUUAAUAUUUUUCCAAACUCGAAGAAUUUCGUACAGGUUGUUAAAUGAAGCACUUUCUUGAAUCCUGCCAGCCCUUCUGAUGAAUGGACCAACAUAGCUGCCAAUUAAUGCCGGUGAACAUUAUUAAUGUGACAAAUAAUAAAUAAAUUAGCAUACAUACAAAGAUGGCACAUACAGCUCCAUUCCUUCAACGGUAGCAGCAUAAAGCUUCUCAAUAGCAUUGAGUGCAGAUUCUGGCGUUGAGUGUUGGACAAAGCCAUAGCCUUUGCUUUUCCCAUCUUGAGACACAACAACCUUGGAGGACUGAAUGUCUCCGAAUUUGGAAAAUAUUUGAUGGAGCUUCCAAUUGUCUAUUGUACUAGCCAAGUUCUGCCAAGUGUGUGUAUAUAUAUAUAUAUAUAUAUAUAUAGGAAACAGCAGACAAAAUGAUGAUCAACUAACUAAGGUAGCGUUUACUUUUUGGAUUGGAUUGGGAAUCUUGGGGAGUGGGAAUCCUAGGAUUGGGAGUGUGGAGUGGGAGUGGGAGUAGGUUGUUUACUUACACUUGAAUGGAAGCAUGGAAUGGAGAUCAGAAUCCAAUUUAUGUGUUUACUUUGUCUUGGAUUGGGAGUAAAUAGUUUCAAAUUACAAUUUUAUCCUUAUUUAACGAAUUAUAAUUUUUAAUUACAAAACUAAUAAAAAAUAUAUUUAAUGAAUAAUAUUUAUUUUAUUAUAUUUGUAAAUUUAUUAUAAUUAUUAAUAUUCUUAAUUAUGAACAAUAAAUUAUUAAUUGUAAUUUUAAUAUAAAAUGAAAUGUUAUUUUAUUUUAUUUUAUAUAAUUAUAUUAAAUUUAUUAUUAUAUAAAAUAAUAAUAUAAUAUUAUUUAGUACAAAAUUAAUAUUUUCUUAUAAUAAAGUAUUUAUUAUUAUUAUUAUUAAAUAAAUAUAGUACUAUUAUUUUUAAAAUAAAUAUAAUAAUAUUAUAUUUAUUAAUUCUCUAUUAAUAUAAUAUUAUUAUUUUAAAAUAAUUUUAACUUAGAAUCAAUGUAAAUUAUUAUUUAGUUAAAUAUAAUAUUAUUAUUUAAAUAAAUAUAAUAUUAUUAUUUAAAUAAAUAUAAUAUUAUUUAUUUUAUUUUAUUAAUUAUAAAACAUAAAAUAAAAAAAAAGGGUAGAAAUGGGAGAGGUGGGAGUGGAUUCCUACUCCCACCUCCCCCAAUGGGAGUCCCACUCCCACUCCCCACUCCAAAAAUGGGUGGGGCCCACGGAGUGGGACUCCCAAUCCCUCCCCAUUUUAAGUAAGUAAAUGCUGGAGUGGGAGGAAUCCACACUCCUCACUCCCACUCCAGCAAGUAAACACAACAUAAAUGUUUUCAUAUCCCAUGAAAAUUUUUUGUAAUUAAUUACCUUAACGAACACUUUGCCAACUCAAUCUGGCUUCAGAAUUGGGUGUCGACUACAUUACUCUAAUUGCUUUACCAUUCAGUAUUGUAUAAUUCAAUGCCUCUAUAGCCUUUGUUGCUGAUAAAAAAAUAAUAAAAGUUAAAGACGUUCAUUAGGAAUAUAUUUCAAUUGUUAUGAAAGUAACCCAGCAAAUCGUUUCGAAUUUAAUUAGGAGAACAAUGUCGCGUAUCGCUUUUUUUUUUAUAUUAUUACAUGAGACCAUUGUUCAAGAGUACAAUUCAUAGUACAUUAGAUUACAAUUUAUAUUUACAAAUCAAAUUAUUAUUGGGACUAGUUCACAUCAAUUCUUAUGAACCACUGCCCAAAAUUUUACUCUCUAUAACAUUCGAAGGACGUUUACUCCACGCACAUUUCGAAAAGAAGAAUACUGUGUUCACUCAAUUAAAGAAGGAAAUUAAAUUCUCACAAUACAUUGUGGGAGCUUAAACCCAUGACUUCACAAUUGUAAGGUUUGGAUUCUAACCACUAGGCUAAAGCCUAGUGGCUCGCCCCAUGUAAGGGUUUUGAUUAACGCUCUUGACCAAGUCCCAAACUUGUAGCCCUAACUCUAAUUAACAUUUCCUGAAACCAUAGGGUUUAGUCAAGUUGUUUUCAAGUAAUUUUAUUUAACUGACUAAUCAUUGCUCUAGUUCAAAUUCUGGGAAAGACAGAUGGUUAAAGAAUAGAUUGGUGUACGUUCUGUUUCCCGUAUUAUGGAAUUAUCUGCAAUAAUUCACUUUAUACAACAAAGAGUUGUACACAUAUAACUAGAAGUACAUAUUUGAUUCAAUUAAUUUUACGUAGGUAAUUAAAAUAGUUUUAGGAAAAUAUGUAUAUAUAAAUUAUGAACAUGCAUGCACGUACCACAGUGAAAGGAAUGAAAGUUGGCGUAGCCAUAGCGGAGUGAACGUCGAUGGAAGCUAUCAACGCAGAGCAUAGCCGAAGCAAGUCCUUCGAGUUUUGAGAACGAGAAGGUCUGAAUGAGCUGUUGUUCUGUUACUGUGGAGUCGAGGUCUCCAACGUAGAGCGAGAACAGUGUCCCCAGAAUUGCAGAGUCAUUAUUAUUAUGAGCACGAAGAGAAACUUCCAUGUUUAAGGAAUGAAUCAAUAUCAGAGAUGACACAAGAUUAAUUGCUUGAGUUCAUCAGAGCAACAAACUAUGUGUAUAGUUAAUUAUUUAUUAAGAACAUAAUUAAGAAGUUGUGAUAACGUGUAAUUCCUUUCCUCUUUAGGAAUUAGCUUUCUUAUUGAAUUCUGAUUUUAUUAUAGAAGAAACGACUAUAAGGGGGUGCCAAGCUUAAGCCCGCGCAUUGGCGGAAUGCAGAAGCUACACUAUCUCUCUCUAUAUAUAGUAGAACCUCUAAAUAGACAUACUCUAUAUAGGAAUAAUCUCUUCAUGGUAAUAAAAAAUUGUGAUCACAACUUAAAACCAGUUAUAAUUAAGAAUAAACUCUAUAUUGUAAUAAGUUAUAUUUUUUAUAGAUCCCGUCUUAAAUAAACUUACCUUCACAUAGUAAUAACAUUUUAAAAAUAUAUGUCAUGUUACGUUAAAUAAUUAAGAGAGAACAAAAAUAUAUGCUAUGUUACGUUAAAUAAUUAAGAUAGAACAAAUAUAUUUUUAAAGUUGCAACCACAUCUUUCAACUUGCAGGUAUGUAUUAAUUGGUCAGCAUAGACAUUUUCUUGUUAAAACCAAAAUAUUUCUAACUUCUCAAAUAAAUUAAACUGUCUUUAGUAAUAAAUUACAUUAGAAACAUUUUAGUGACAUAAAAUUUUAUUAAAAUGUAAAUAAUCCACUUGCUACGAAUCUUUUUAUGUUUGACUCGAAAAGUUUCGGUAACUUUCUUGUCAAAAAUAAAAAAUAACAACUCGUUUAUGUUAUUCGAUUCCCUUUCAAAUGCAAACAAAAAGACAAAUUCUUGACCAAAGUCAAUUAAGUUGGUAGCUUGGUUAUUUGAAUAGGAGUCUUGACAUGCUUCGUUAUUAAGAAUUGUCAUCAUUCUUCUUUCCAAAAAGGAAAUAAGGAAAAAAAAUAAUAGUAGAGCGAAGAAACAAAGAAAACUAUGAUUCGAAGUCAAAAGAAUUCAAUUUUUGAUGAUCAGUAUUCGUUUAAUCUUUAUAUUUUAAAAUAUAUCUUAAAAUAUUUUUGUUGUUAAUUAUGUUACACUUUUUAGUAUUGCAUUUUAUUUGUUUUGACAGUAAAACAUUAAUAAAAAUAAAUAUUAAUUUAUCGAAUUAAAUGUAAAGGUAAAAUAAUGAUAAUACUACUAUUAUUAUUUAUUUUAUUUGUAAACUAUUAUUAUUUUUACUUUUGUGGUUAAUUAGAUAAAUAACAUAUUUAAAUCUUAUUAUUGUAUUGUUACAAUAAUAUAUUAUAUUAUGAUAAUUUAAUAUAUUUAAAUUAAUAAAUAAUAAUAAUAUUUUUUUUUUGCAAAUUAUUAUUACUUUUUUAUGGUUGAUUCAAUAAAUUAAUAUAUUUAUUUUCUUUAAUGUAUUAUUACAAGAGUAUUAUUAUUGUAGAAACAAAUAAAAUGUAAGAGUAAAGGGUGUAACAUAAUUAACAACAAAAAUAAUAAAUUAAUAUUUUUAUAUUAAUAUCUCCAAGAUUGUUACAAGGUAUUAUUGUCAAAGCAAAACAAAAGUAAGGACAAUAAUAAAACAUAUUAUAAUAUCUAACUAUAGUAACUGAACAUAUACUUAACCUAAAAUGUAAUAUCUAAAUGAACACUUUACCUACUUGAUUAACAUAAUCAUAUAUACAUAAUUUAUAGUCAUGUAAUGUGCCCUUGAUAAAAACUUAUGAUAUAAUAAUAAUAAUAAUAAUAAUAAUAAUAAUAAUAAUAAUAAUCUUACACCAUCUAUCAGUUAAUGACAAGUCACGUGUCGUAUUAUUUAAGAUCCAUUACGUUUUUUUAAUUAUGUAUUGAUAGUAUUAUUAACAAAACAAUUAUUAUUAUUUUUUCCUUCCCCUAGCUUCCACUAUUUUAUCUAUUUAUUUUUAUUUUUAUUUAUUUUUAUUUGGAAUGAAGCUUCCACCUUAAACAAACGAAGAAAGUGCUGACCAGCUGGUAAGAUUCCUAAAAAGUGUAAGCAAGACGACGCACUUUCGAUUGUUGAAAUGAAUCAGAAGAGCUAAAGCCGUUUCUUUAUGCGUUCCUUAAUGUUGUAGAUGUAGUUCUCUUUUUUCUUUUUUCAUAAACUUGCACCCACAUGGAGGUAAGCGAAACUGGCUUUUGCCUUUCGUUCGUUCAUCAAAUUUUAAUAUCACUUAUUACGUCGCUUAAUUGAAAUCUCAUGUAUUUAUUUAAAAAAUAAAAAUAAAAAAUUAAGAAGUUGAUACAAAUAAAUGAGAAGAUAAAAAUUAGUUGCAUUAAUAAGAUAUUUUAUUUUCAAGUGAGUUUUUAAUCAAAGAUUCUCAAUUUUAAAAAUUAAAAAAUAAAUUAUUAUAUAUUAAAAUUUAUUGAUAACAUAACAUCUUCAAAAUGUUCUAAUAUUUUUUAUAACAGAACAUGAAACUAAAUAAUUUGGUGAUCGUCAAAUAAUUUUUAUUAAUUUAAAAAAAAUAAUUAAUACACUCUUAAAAUAUUAUAAUAAUUUUUAUAACAAUACAUCCAUAAAGUAUUCAAAUGAUAAUAUUAUUAAUAUUUAUUGAUAAUGGCACCUCAAAGUUCAACUCUAAUUGCUUCUGAGCUACGCAAUUAAGUAAAGUAAAUACCAAGAAAGUCACAUCAACGCGCUUUGUGACACAACAACAUGACGUUUAAAGAGCCUCGCGGCAGAUGCAAAUAUCGAUUGACUGAAAAGAAAGCUCAAAUUGACAAUUCGUUUAGCCCAACAGUUUAAAAUACUGAGUGAGAUCUUGGCAUAAAACAGUGAAAGCUAAAGCAUAAAGAAAAGAAUGUUUAAGGAAAAGAGAAAAAAAAAAAAGAGAAUGAAGAAGAUGCUUUAUCUCUCUUUUUGCGUCAUUUAGAACGCAUGCCAACCAUGCACGUCCACGUCAUUUUAAUCCACGAAGAGAUAGAUAGAUCACUAACAGACAGAGUCAAUAUAUAUUCUUCAUGUCAAUUAUGGCGAGAGCUUUUCCUUUUUCUUUGGGACACAUGGUCUGUGAGGUAUGCUCGCGGAUAAAAUUCAAAUUAAUUUCUUUGACCUAUAUCUAAAAUAUUUAGGAUUUAAAUCGGUUAAAUAAAUCAAUUUUAAAAAUCACUCAAAUUAAUCCUCUUAAAAAUAAGAGAGCCAUGUUUACUUUAGGAGACCACUGAUAUUAAAUUACUAAAAUGAUAACAUCAAAAUAAAAUUGGUAUUAUUGUUCGUGCCGUCACAAUACCAUUGUAGUACACAAAAUGACGACAUUGUUCAUACUAAAAUACUUUUCUUUUCUUGGUAGUUAAAUAUUAUUUUUCUUUUUUAUUACACGUGAAAGUAUUUUUAUUAUUAGCAAUAAACAUGCACAAUAAGAAGUGAACAGAAAUUAACAAUAUUUUAAAUUUAAAUAAUUAUCGUAGACUCUCGUAGACUUAGCUAAACUUUUACUGCAUGCGCGCGCACACACACAACAUAAAAAUGACACCGCGAAUUAAAAAAACUGUAAAUUUUGCGAGGGCUCGAUUUUAAAUUUGCACAGAAAUCAGACAAAUUUCAGAUCAGUCCCUUAUGUUUCUCUGAAAUUUAUUCCAUCCCCCCCCGACUAUCGAGUACAAGGCGCCAUCAUAUCCUCUGUAGCAUUUCUAGAAUCUUGGAAGUGGUCCCGCGCAUUUAGUCCAUCGAUCCUUGUCACCUGAUGGGAGUAAAACUCCUCGGUCAAAAGGAUUUGGUAUUCUCGCGGGCCCCACAAAGGAAAUUAAAAAACUAAAAAGCCAAAAAUAGGCUGCGCAUAGAAUACCAUGAAGCGGAAGUCCCUUCCUUCGGAAGUUGUUUGCAAGAGAAGACUUGGAAAUUAUCUACAACGUGCUAUCCCACCGUGUCUCCCGUAGACGCCAGCUUCGAUUGAUCCAUCCCAACUUUGUCUUUAUCAAAUUAUAAACGUCCCGAAGAAGCCCUCUUCGCUCGACACGUGCACGUGCAUCAAAGGUUUCGUGUUAGCUUUGCGUUAUUUGCGAUUUUAAAGAAAGUGCCGUUGUACGGUUCUGCUGUUCCUUUAUCGCUUACGUGUAAAAGGCCUUGCUGACUCCUCGCAGACAGCCCCACUGAACUCUUUCAAUUUCUUAAAAAAAUAUAAAGUAAUGGAUACCGACUUGGCAAAACGGAUGCGCACAUGUGCUUGAGAAAUCAGAUUCCCAACCCCCCCCCCCCCCCAACAGUAAAAGCGUGACCAAAUACUAUCGAUUUUUAAUAAUUUUUUAUUAAAAAAUAUAUAAUUUUCUUUACGUUGUGUGAAUGGGGUCCACAGGCGGACAGCCAAACUAGAUGCCUUGGGAAUCGUCAACCCUUCGGGCUGGAAAACGCCCCAAUUUUAAGAAGGAGCGCCGCCUAAAAGCUAUGAUUAACUUGUCGUCAUACGCGCCCAGGGAAAGCGUGUGUGGGAGCAAAUAUUCAAACGCCGGGACUAUUGGACACGUGUGAUAGUUUAAAGAGGCCGUAGCUCUGAGCUUUGCAGGAAUAAAAGGCUGAUGGUUCAGCACGCGCUCAUGGAAAAUUUUCACUCGUUCCAAAUUCCAAUCACCUUCUGUUCUUCCACAGCGACUAUGUCCAUUGACCCCCAGACACCUGAUGAUUAUUUUGGCGGUCUUUUUUCAUUUCACAAAUUUUACCCUUUGCCAUCUUCACCUGGUGGGUGAAAUUUGAUUUUUGGGUACAAUGCAAAGUGGAUUUAAUCAUAAACUUCUUGAAUUAGAAUUAGAAAAAAUAUUCACCGCCUAUUCAUUUUUUUUUUAAAUAUACAAUUUUUUUUUUUGAAUCCACCUAAAAUUAUAUUUUGUUUUACUUUUUCACUUCUGUUUGAAGUUCGUUAAGAAAACUAACUGAAACUUAAAAAAUGACCAUUUUACCCCCAAAACGAAAAUUAUAAUUUCACCCUAAAAAAUACCAAAAAUAAUAAGAUUUAAUGAUGAAUAUCAUUAUUGGUACGUUAAUGAAGUAUAAAAAAAUCUUAACUACUAGAGAUUAUAACUCAAUGAAUAAUAAAAUUCCACUUAUUUUAAAUUCAAUUGAUGGUUUGCGAGAUUGAGCUAUUUUUAAUACUACUGUUAUAAUUUAGUAUUCUAAUUACAGACAUAUUUAAAAAAAAAAACCUUGCAUUUAAAAGUUGUGGAAUUAAUUUCUUUAUUGACCGAUGAGGAAAAUAAUUAGAUUUAAUUUGAUUAUUUUUGGUAAUUUUUAGGGUGAAAUUAUAAUUUUCGUUUUGGGGGGUAAAAUGAUCAUUUUUUUAAGUUACCGUUAGUUUUCUUAACAAAUUUCAAACGAAAGUGGAAAAGUGAAACAAAAUAUAACUUUAGAUGGAUUCUAAUAAAAAAAAAGAAUUGUGUAUUUUUGAAAAGUUAAAAAAAAUGGGUGAACGAUAAAUAUUUUUCCUUAGAAAUAUUAUCUGGAGGGUAAUCAUAAGUUUGGUCCUUUUACAGAAUGUAGAUUUAUGGUGGUGUUUUUGUUUGUGAUGGUUAAAAGAAUAUAGGCACGCAUUAGACAAUAGUAUAAAGUUAAGAGUAUUGGACUAUUCUUUUUAAAAUUAAACUAGUCUUUUGUUUGGUGCCGCAAAGAUAAGUGAGGAUUAUGUACCCUAAGACCACACCAUUUAAUCUUGGACACAUACUUUUAUAAAGUACAAUGAAAAUUUUUAUCCCAUGGGGACCAUAGGGAUAAUGCGGGAUAAUUUUUUUCAUGCUUAAAAAUAAUUGUAGAAUAAUUACAAGAUGAAAUAUCUAUAACUAUUAUUACAUUAUAUUAUCACAUUAAUUAAAUAUUUAUUUACUUUAAUUUUCAUUUUACUUAACUAAUAAUAAAAAUAUUAGAAUUUAUAUUUUGUGUGUUUGUGUGUGUAUAUGUAUGUAUAUUGUGUGUAUACGUAUCUAAACAUAUACAAAUGAUCAAUUGCACACAUUAUUGUACGCGAUGAGCCAUGUGUCAUCUAAUCAUGGUUGUGUGGCACAUCUAAUUAGGUGUGUAUAAUAAUAAUAAUAAACAACUUAAAUUAAUAAUUAGGUUUUUUAAUUUAAUAAUUUGAAUAUUCAUAUUAUUAAAUCUAUAUUUAUAAAUUUACUCUAAUAAAUAAAUACUUUUAAAUGUUUAAUAAUCAAUAAAUCAAUAUUAAUAUACUUCAUUUCUUAUAAAUGAUUUUAAUAAAAUCCUACAGUAGACCAAACAUGAGAUAAUACUAAAUAUAAAUCAAACCCAAUCUUAUUCUAUCCUGCUAAACCCGUCUUAUAAAAAGAAGUUAUUUAAGUUCUAAUGGCAGCGGGAGCUGGAAACCUGAAAGGCCGGAAGCCCAGCUGAAGCUCUUACCUCAAUUUCCAACUGAAAAUUAAUAAUUAAUAAUUAAUAAUUAAUGAUGAACGCUCAUAAACAUAAAAAUGAACGAUCUUUCCUUUGCCCUCCAACGGGAGCAACUGAGCAAGUAGUAAGUGGAACCUCGCCACUUUCCUUGCAAAACGGGAGCAAGUAGCAAGUGUGUAGCAGUUACGGCAACAAAAGCGCGUGCUACAUUUACACGUCAUUAGUAUAAAAAGCUAGGGGUAAAUUCGUCAGAGAACCAAACAGUCGCCAUAUUGCCGCGAAGCAAUAAAAUAAAAAGAAUUUCCAUUGCACGCCUUGCAUUUAAUUCGAUCACUCUCUCUCUCUAUGUGUUAAAUCUUGGUCCUUAUUAUUUAUACACACGCCCCCUCUUCCUCCUUCCUUCUCUCCGUUUCUUCUUAAGUCUGUCGCUCUCUCGCUUUAUUUGUGUGACCAUCACUUCACUUCGGUUCCUCAAAAUUUUCUCUCUCAUUUCACCUUUCUGCUUUCGACAAUGUCUCGACGUGGUGGCGGUGGUCGUAGACCGGAUUCUCGCCGUGACCAGCCGACUCAGCCACCGGCGCCGUCAUUCCAGCGCGGUGGCGGCGGAGGCGCUGGACCACGGGGCCGAGGUCGUCAAGGUCAACGUGGGGGUGCUGGUCGUGGAUCGCAUUCCGGCUCCGGUGCAGCCCCGUCCACAUCGCACGCGGCUUCGACUUCGACGGCGCCGGCUCCUUCAACUCCGUCUGUUUCUGCUUCUGCUCCUUCGACUCCGUCUGUUUCUGCUUCUGCUCCUUCGACUCCGUCUGUUUCUGCUUCUGCUCCUUCUUCGUCUUCAGUCUCUACUCUUGUCGAAGAAACGGAGCAGAAACUGACAUUGGCGGCACCAGCGGCGGCUACUCUUCCGCCUUCGUCGUCGCAGGCGAUGAGAUUUCCGGUGAGGCCGGGAUUUGGAACUGUUGGCAAAAAAUGUGUUGUCAGAGCAAAUCACUUUAUGGUGCAACUUGCCGAGAGAGACAUUCAUCACUACGAUGUAAGUCUACUUUUAAUUGUGUUAUUUUUGAAGACGUUUUGCUGUUUUUAUUUUUUAUUUUUCGUUUUUCUCGUCAAUUUUGAUUUUAUUUAAGAUUCACCAUUCGUGAGCGUCGAAUUCGAAGGUGUCGGGGUUUUGUUGAUAUUUUAAAAAUAUGUUUAUUCUUUUGCUUAUUUAUUUAUUUAUUUUUAAGGUUUCAAUUACUCCAGAGGUGACGUCGAAAAAAAUCAACAGACAAAUUAUUUCUCAGCUGAUUAAUUUAUAUCGGCUGACUAACUUGGGUGGACGAAUACCUGCCUAUGAUGGUGUGAAGAGCAUUUACACGGCAGGGCCGCUGCCUUUUGAAUCAAAGGAAUUCAUUAUCAAGUUACCUGAUAGCGAUCCUCGUCCCAGCUCAUCUACCAGGCCG